RNAcentral lists this long non-coding RNA (290 nucleotides) under Elaeis guineensis (African oil palm). RNAcentral's name for it is "long non-coding RNA (EGUI_LNC074723)". Lineage: Eukaryota; Viridiplantae; Streptophyta; Magnoliopsida; Arecales; Arecaceae. The record is from RNAcentral.
UGAAUAAUCUUCUAUGGCAUAGAUCAAGCGGGUAGAAAAAGGUAUUUUGUAGCCAUAACUAUUUAGCAUUUUCCGAACAAUCUGGGAUCAGCUAGAGGAAGGUAUCUUACUACUAUUUCAAAAAAUAUUGUGAACCUAUAACUAUGUUAGCCUUUGUGCCAUCUUCUUUUAGUCCACACAAAAUAGAUAUUUGAAAUGCGUUUUACGCCAUGGAGUCGAUAAUUUGGAGAGAAUUAGAAGAUGAACCACAUUGAUAAAAUAUUCAUAUUUAAAUUACAUAUUUCAUGUUA